RNAcentral lists this long non-coding RNA (920 nucleotides) under Macaca nemestrina (pig-tailed macaque). RNAcentral describes it as "lncRNA (ENSMNEG00000045995.1)". Lineage: Eukaryota; Metazoa; Chordata; Mammalia; Primates; Cercopithecidae. The record is from RNAcentral.
CCCACUGUCUGAGCAGGAAGUCUUUCCAGCCGUGUGGUCUCAUCCAGGAGCUCCGGGCCACCUCCCUCCCUGUCCCCGUGUGCGGGCAGAGAGCCCAGGCCACCCGUGCACUUCCCUCCCCUCUCCUGUUCCGCAGGCCCUGGCUGCCCUGGGAAACUCCACAUUCAGACAGGCCUGGUGCAGACGCUGGUGUCCUGGCAGCGCCUAAAUCAUUAGCGCCGCGGAGAUUAGGCUGCUAAUCUCCUUGUUGGGUGGAGCGGUGCCAGCCGCCAGCCUGUGGAUCAUGCUGCUCUCUUGCAGGGGCCGUUCCUCGGGGCACGACGCUGGCUCCUGCACAGAUCCUACUCCUUUGUGGCCUUCCUGGGCUGCCCUCCCCUCCUCCAGGACUGCUCUGGACUGACGCUUCUCAGGUUCGGAUCCCGGUGGCUGUGAUCGGUCAUUCCAGCUUUGUGCUGGCUGCAGGUGGAUGAUGCCCAGCUGGCUGCCGAUGACUUCUGCACCAAGUGAGGCUGGGUCUCUGGAGCUGCCCCAGGGACUGGACAAGCUGACCCUGGCCGGAGCCAACCUGGAGAUGCAGAUUGAGAACCUCAAGGAGGACCUGGUCUACCUGAAGAAGAACCAUGAGGAGAAGGCUCUAGGUCCCAGGGACUCCAAGGCUCAACCCAAGGAUAGAGAGCCAAGGUUCUGCUGGGGCAGUCAGGAGGCCUUACACGCCCUGUCCUGUGGCUUCCUUCUCUGCCGAGCUCCGUGCUGCUCUGAGCUGGGGGAGCCUACUCCCCGAGAAGCGGGACACCCGGACGGGGUUUCCCCCUGGCUUUGAGGCUGGUUAUACUAUUGCUUUCCUCCAGCAGAUUAACAUUUGCUAACGGGGCCUGGCGCGGUGACACCAGUGUUGCUUUCUGCAUGCCUGUGCUGUGGGG